CCUACGGGAGGCAGCAGUGGGGAAUAUUGGGCAAUGGGCGCAAGCCUGACCCAGCAACGCCGCGUGAAGGAAGAAGGCUUUCGGGUUGUAAACUUCUUUUCUGAGGGACGAAGAAAGUGACGGUACCUCCGGAAUAAGCCACGGUUAACUACGUGCCAGCAGCCGCGGUAAUACGUAGGGGGCAAGCGUUAUCCGGAUUUAUUGGGUGUAAAGGGCGGGUAGGCGGGAAAGCAAGUCAGAUGUGAAAACUCAGGGCUCAACCCUGGGCCUGCAUUUGAAACUGUUUUUCUUGAGUGCUGGAGAGGUAAUCGGAAUUCCGGGUGUAGCGGUGAAAUGCGUAGAUAUACGGAGGAACACCAGUGGCGAAGGCGGAUUGCUGGACAGCAACUGACGCUGAGGCGCGAAAGCGUGGGGAGCAAACAGGAUUAGAUACCCUAGUAGUC
Molecule: ribosomal RNA, 443 nt
Filed under: uncultured bacterium
Lineage: Bacteria
Description: partial 16S ribosomal RNA
Rfam family: Bacterial small subunit ribosomal RNA
Source: RNAcentral